Molecule: long non-coding RNA, 565 nt
Organism: Papaver somniferum (opium poppy)
Lineage: Eukaryota; Viridiplantae; Streptophyta; Magnoliopsida; Ranunculales; Papaveraceae
Exons: 3
Source: RefSeq, a predicted model, not a curated record
UGUGGGGAUUAAUUCCCAAGGAGAACCACCUCUUCUUUUGGAUUAAUUUCCAAGGAGGUGACGCACUUUUUUCUGCAUUACUUCUUUACUAAGCCAAAUUCAUUUGUGCGAGUAGCCAGAAACAUAGAGUGAGAAACAGAGAGAGUGGGUUCAUGGUUUUUACUUUCAGCUUCUCUUUUUAGUUUUAUUUCAGUUCCUUCUUCUUUAUUAAUUUAACGGUACUCGUUUAAUUAUGUCCAGAGAAGAGCUCUGCAAGUGAAGAUUAUUUGAGGUCCUUGUUCGAUUCGUGAGUUCGAUUCAUGAGUUCGAGCUCUGCAAGUAUAAUCGGUUCCAUAUGUCCAACGGAUACACACUCUAUAUGUAAGCAGUGCGACAGAUAUAUACUCAAAUUUGUAAGUAAUGCAACAGAUAUGUACUCAGAUUUGUAAAAAGUGCAGCAGAUAUGUACUCAAAUUUUAAGCAUGGUGGCAGAUAUGUACUCAAAUUUGUAACACAAAUUUAGCAGAUAUAUACUCAAAUUUGUGGUAUUUUAUAUGUUUUAAUUAAAUUUUGACCUCCCGAUAAA